GAGCCAUUAGCUCAGUUGGUAGAGCGUCUGACUUUUAAUCAGAGGGUCAGAGGUUCGAAUCCUCUAUGGCUCA
Molecule: transfer RNA, 73 nt
Filed under: Staphylococcus aureus
Lineage: Bacteria; Bacillati; Bacillota; Bacilli; Caryophanales; Staphylococcaceae
Description: tRNA-Lys
Rfam family: tRNA
About the family: Transfer RNA (tRNA) molecules are approximately 80 nucleotides in length. Their secondary structure includes four short double-helical elements and three loops (D, anti-codon, and T loops). Further hydrogen bonds mediate the characteristic L-shaped molecular structure. tRNAs have two regions of fundamental functional importance: the anti-codon, which is responsible for specific mRNA codon recognition, and the 3' end, to which the tRNAs corresponding amino acid is attached (by aminoacyl-tRNA synthetases). tRNAs cope with the degeneracy of the genetic code in two manners: having more than one tRNA (with a specific anti-codon) for a particular amino acid; and 'wobble' base-pairing, i.e. permitting non-standard base-pairing at the 3rd anti-codon position.
Source: RNAcentral